Molecule: non-coding RNA, 341 nt
Organism: Malus domestica (apple)
Lineage: Eukaryota; Viridiplantae; Streptophyta; Magnoliopsida; Rosales; Rosaceae
Source: RefSeq, a predicted model, not a curated record
CCUCUCUUCCUCUCUUCAACUCUUCAACUCUCCUUCCUCUCUUCCUCUUUCCAACGUGCCAAGUCCAUGGUUGUAACAUGGAUCUUCAACUCUCAUUCCUCCGGAUUUCUUUAACAGUAUAUGUUAUGUAAUUGGUGUUUGGGAAAGCUUGAGUUUGAGGACUUGAAGAGAAGAAGUGUGUGCAAAGGCAUGAAGUGAUGAAACCUUGAAGGUUUAUUUGAUUUUUUUGUGUUGGAAGACUUGAAGUGUGAUUGUGUGGAAGACUUGAAUUGUGAUUGUGUUAGAGAUGUUAAAUUUUCAAGUUUCAAAUUUUUUAAUUUUUUUGGGAAAAAAAACCGAAA